CUCUGUCCUGUAGUGUUCAGCAAACCUGCUGGUGGUCAUGGUGCAAAAAGCUACUUGGCAUUUGGCAGGAAAAUCCUUAUGGAGCUUCUAUUUAUGCAUCACUUGUUUGUUUUAUGUGGUCUUGCAUGAUUUGUGCCAUUUUUGAGAUCUUGCAUUUUACAUAAAUCAUCUUUACAUAAAUUAUCCUGGAGAUGGUUUUUCAGUUUAAAAGGACAGUCCCCAAACCCUUAGCUCGUGCAAGCGUGAAGAGUGAGGAGCAUAGAAGUGCAAAAGGGCCAUGUAUUUUUCUCAGGCUCUGGAGUCAGCAUGUCAAACCAGACAUGCUAUACAAUAAUUACACUGUCUUUAGGGUCAUGGUUAAUGCAGUGUUAUAGCUCAGUUGCAGGCUUUACCCAUGAACUGAUGCUUGCAAUUAUGUGGCAUUUUAUAAUUUUUGUUUAUAUUUUUUGUUUUGCUUCUCCUGGUCUUUCCUUUUGAUGAUGCUUGCCUGAGUGAGUUGCUCACUGGUAGAGCUGGAAGAUUAUUUCCUUUAUUAAUACUUUAUUUUGCCUUUUUAACUUAAUUUUCCUGCUGAGUCUAUAAGUGGAAGUGGUGAACGUUCUUUCUAUAAUCCGGCCAUUCUCAUUGCCCAUGUUUGUAGGAAACCUUGCUAUGAUGAGAGACUACAGUGGCAGAAAUACAUUUGAAAAGAACGUAAGUUAAGAGAUGCAAAAUGUCUAAUGUUAGGGGAUAGUUUAAUCUGUCCAAAAGUCAGGGAGAUUGAUAGGCUCUUGCAAAUUGGCCCAACACUGCUCUUCAAGUGCUUAAGUCUCUGCUGUUUUUGCUGUGCAGUUGCUGUAUGAGCUGUAGCAGAUAGUAAUACUUGGAUGUGUGCACAAAGCCAGUUUAUUUUUUUCAUAGAAAGCAUAUUGUGUGAUGGCUGCUACUGCUGCCAGCUUACUGGCAUUUAAUGCACAUACAGAGACACACACACACACACAAAAUAACAUCUUAUCAAUAAGGAUCUUUAUGAGGUAUGUAUAAUUCCUUUAUAUAUAAGUAUGGUAUAUAAAUUACAUUUUUAAUGUAUGUAAACUUGGGGGUGAUGCUCAAGUAUUUUUCUACUUUGAUUCAGCACUUGUGGUAGGACUUUGUCAUUGACAACCUUUUGAUAUGUAACCUUGAAGGAAAGAACAUACUACUUAGAGGUUGCUUGCAGAAAACAUUCAAUCUCUUGAGUGUAAAAUCUCUUAAAGUGCGAGGAAAUGCAGCAGAAUUCUCCUUGAACCAUUUGAAAGGUGGGACCUUUCUUGGACCUUGUGUAAGAUCCUAAACUUACUGAAGUGCCAUGACUCUGCAAGGCCAUGUGGCCACAAAAGCACUGGAUGAGGAUGCUGUAUUUUAGACUCGCAGGACUCUCAAGCCAUUUUAGUUGAAGAGAUAAGAAAAACUUGAACAUAGUUGACCUAGUUACUUAAGUGAUAGAGCGUAGUGAUUAUUUUAGAGCACUUAAAGGCUGAAGAAAAGAUGUUCUAGACAGGCCAAGGAUUAACAGUAUAUUGAAUAUUCGUAAAACUCUGCUUCCAACAUAGUUAUGUUAAGAUAAUUUGACAGUCCAAUGUGUGAAUGCUCAAAUCACAGCUGCUCAAGGAUCUGAACACUUUUUUCUUCUACCUAUUACCUUGCAUUUAAUACACUCUGUAUGUUGGACAGUGAAGUACUUUGGAAUAGCACAGAAACAGUCAUAUGUGAAGGUGAUUAUACUGGAAUUGCUUUGGGAAAAAUUGUCAAGCACUAUGUUUUCUAGGCAAUGGAAACUAAGCCAACUAAGCGAGAGGCUGUGUAUGUCCAGUUUACUUUCUUCCUUCACUCUGUGCAACCUUUUCUUCCCCACUGCCUCCAGCUCCUUAAAUGAGUAGAAGGCUGCUGGAGGUGCUGCUGAGAGAUUUGGGUGCAGGUGCAACAUGAGGUUCUUGCUUUCUUGCCAGUGGUCUCUCUUUUGUUGCUUGUGUUGCGUGUAACGGGAGCCAGCUGUUAGCUCUGUUCAUGUGCAGUAUUGGUUCUAGUUCUACCAGGUGCACAAUUAGUAAACUGUCUGCCAGUCUAAGUGGGGAAUGUCAGAGGGCAGUUCAGUUUCUUUCACUGUUAAUUCUUCAGCUUCCUUUAAAUAAGGCAUACCACAUGGUCUCUUACUACCACUAAUAAAAGGGCUUUUGAAAUUUGGACAUACCUCUUAUGAGAAUCUAUCUCAACCUGUUCAGUAUGGGCACUACUUUGCCACUGAAUUAGAGACACUGGUCAUUGCAACCAGAGGUAGUUUGAAACAAGAGGUUCACCUGAAUUUAAAUGAUUGAGCAGAAGAAAAGUUUCUAAAAUUAAGGAGACUAAUGCAUUACUGUACAUUUUGUCUCACUUCGUAGUAAUUGGUCAAUGGAGGAAGAGAGAACAAAUGUCUGUAUUGUGCUAAAAGUGUGAAUGUGUUUCUUUGUGUGUUUUAGUAUACCAUAUGAAAGUCUUGGUUGCUGUAGCCCUAGUAUUUUAAAACCUAGUGAAAUGGUGAAGUCAGCUUUAAGGUAAUCUUCCACUUUUUUUUGUUUUCGUAUUUUCUUUCUCUGUGGGUACAUACGUGCCCUGGAAGCGUUUAAGACUAGUGUGGGUAGAAAGUAGCACUAGAAACCGGUCAAGACAGCUAUUCGUUGUAAAGUUGAUAUUUGUAUUUACAGCAUAGCCUAUUAUUAUCAUAUAACAUGAAAUGAAUAAAUAAUACCUAUAUUGUAGCAGAUGCACCUUAGCAGUAGGCAGAAUAGCAUCAAAAAUGGUCAGUAAGCUUCAUUCUAUACACAGAAGCAUCAAAUGUUUCAGGUUCUCUCUACCUUAUAUUUAAUGCGCUAUGAUGUCAUAAUCUAAAUCAAAUUUUCUGAAUGUUUCCCUGACUGCAUAUUUCCAUACAACUCUUGUUCUUAGGGGAAAAACAAAACUAGGGAAAAAGACUUCUGUGCCCAAGUGAAUGGAGUGAAACCAUAUUCACAACUCUCUUUCCCCUAGUGAAAAAAACCAAGAAAGUCUACAAAAAAGAUAGGUACAAACUUAGGAUAAAGGUUUCUCUGUAAGUUCCUAAAAUCAAAUAUAUGAACUUAACCUCUGUGUCAAGAACAUUUGCUCAAUUAAAUUAUAUAAUUCUGCUUUUCAAACCACUUGUAGACAAUAAUAGAUAUUUCUUUUCACUAGAUUUUGUAUGGUGAACAUAAAUGAGAUUCUUGAUGUUCAGAUCUAUCCCACUGACUAGAAAUAACCUUCUUCAUAUUAUAGAGUGCAUUCACAUCUAUGCAUGUUAUGUAGAAAGCUAAGUGUUACUUAUGCCCAUCCUGUGCAGGUCUCUUGCUCUGCAAAAUUUUUAAAUCUGUCCUUGUCUUUUGCUACAGAGCGCUGUAUGUAUGUAUGUAUGUAUUUCUUUAUUUAUUUUAAGGCCCUCAUGUCUCUUUUAAGUGAGCAUUGAAAGAAAAAGCAAAUUGCUGUUGAAAUUCCCUCUCUGGUGAUUCCAGCUAACUCAACCACAACUAGUGUAUUAAAAAGAGUAAGCAAAUCUCCCCCUCUUUUCCUCCUUGGUGUCUAGGUAGUAGAGAGCUUUGACCCCAGAAAGCUUUACAUGAUAGACUCUUUUCAGAUUGACGUGUAAGUCAUGCUAAGGCUCCAUGUGUAAACUUGACAGUACCUCUCUGUGCUUGACAUUGUAACUUUAAGAUUUGAUAUUAUUUAAAUAUACUAAAGUGUACCCUGUAUCAAACUGCAGGUGCUGCUACACUUCUAUUACAGCAUGGUAACACUUGCCUUGUAAAAACUCUGAGGCUUGGGAAAGAGUUAAGCAAAGCAGCCAGAAACGGUUUUCAGCUUUUACUUUGCAGAUACAACCUUUUAAGCAUACCUACAUUUACCUGCAAUGGCAAUCGUUUUGCAUUUUAAUGACAAAUCAAGUAUGCUAACUUGCAUUUGAAACGAAAGUGCCUUAAAUGUCUCUGGCUGUCAGAAUGAGAUGUUAGGAGCUUGAUGAAAAGAGAACAAAGAAGACAAAGUAUGAAGCCUAGAUACAGAGCAAAAUGAAAUAAAACCUUGUAUGGCCUGUCAGGGGUGUCAGUUGAUAUUCCUAUCUAAAGCACAUUAUAGUAUUACUUUGCAGCUCAUAGCUUACUCAUCUGUCUUUUUUAAUUCAUCACAUUCUAGCCCACAUCUUUUAAGUCCCAUGUGUCAACAAUGGAAGAAAUCUGUUAAUUGACAAAUGAGUGUCACAAAUGUGAAUUGGUGCCUUUACAUCAGAGGCAGGUAGUCUCUGUUGUUUUUUGUCGGCUCUAUUAUUGGCAUAAGCCAGUGUAAGACAUCUGUCUUUGCCAGAAUGAGAGAUGACAGCCAAAGAAGGGCUGUCAUUGUUUUAGUGCAUGUUCAUUCUGCUGAGAUACUGUAUAAAGAUAAAAUGUCAGUUAAAAGAAUAUGAAAAACUAUCGGGAGGAAGUCCUUAAAUUACUUGGGAAGGGGAUCUGGGAAUUGGUGCCAGAAUUGAAAUCCAAACGUUCCAGUUUGCAUCUAUCACAUCAAUUUAAAAAUAAUACUUUCUGAGUAACUGGGUCAGUUUAUAAGGCAUUUAGGAAAACGUUAUGUUGUGUUGGCAUAAUUAGCUCAUAAGAUGGAAGAGAAAACAUACCUUCACAGGAUAUGAGUUUAUUACAAGUUCAUUUUUCAAACAUGUAUAGAAUUGUCUCAAUAAAAAUAUGCUAUGUAGCAUCCCUAGUGUUGAUUUGCAUCUGUUUUGAAAUAUUGAAAUUGCUCUGUUCCAAUUUCUUUUUCUGUUAUAGUUCUAUUUUAGAUUGAUGAAUAACAUAAUGAAAUAAAAAGCAUAGCCAGCUGUGAGUUGAUGAGACAAUUAAUAGGAAGAAAAUUAUUAACAUAGUUUCAGGGUGUCUAGGGGGUGUACAGUAUACAAAAGUUACUCCCAAAUCACUAAAUCCCUUUAUUGCAAUAAAUGAUUUUUAAUAUUGGAUAGCACAAAAGAGAGGAGGAAAAUGUUUUAAUGGAGGUGGUAGAAAGGGGGAAUAGAAUUAAAAUGUCAUAAGAGGCUGCCUUUUUGCUUUUUACUUUAUAACAAAAGUCCUAAGAAAGGUAGAUUGGCACUUUUAUCUUCAGCAGCCCUUACAACCAACCCUGUGCUGUACAGGACACUCACUGUGUAACCCCCUCCUUCCCAAAUGAUCUGUCACUUGGUUUCUAAAUGACCUUGUCUGAACUUCAGGCAUUUCACAAUCUGGUGAGGGACUAACUCUAGAUCUGUAGUGAGGCUGACUGAGUUGAUGUUUCAAGAGGGAUGUCUCUGAACAGCAAUUUAUUAAAAGUCUUAAAGUUACUUGGGUUUUGCAUUUGAAAUAGAGCUGUCAAUAUAGCAAAUCUUAGAUGUUCUGAAUUCUGAUACUACUUAAUAUAGGUAGAAUUGUCAUUCAUAACUUUGUAGGAUUUCUUUGUUAGUUUUCUUUUUUUUUUUUUUUAAACUUUCUUCUAGCAACUAAUUGAGUAGCAGAAAAAAAUAUCAAACUGAUGCUCUUUUUCCCCUUCCCACCAUCUAAUGUGGGGUUCUCAAAUUUUUUUUAUCUGUGACUACUCUGUUUAUCUCAAAGUAUCUCCUGGCUCUCUUAUUUCAGUCCAUGGUUAAUGUCAGUUGUAAAAUUAGUUUUAAUUAUUGAGACCAGUAACAGAGUUAAAUACUUCUAAUAGGUGCUAGUAAUUUUAUGAGUCUUCUGCAUCUUAGGGUCUAAAAAGCUAAGAAUGAGUAGUGUGCAGCUUCUUUUAAGAAAUAUUGCUGCUCUGUAAGUAGAUUUCCUAUAGAAUGAAUACUAAGAGAGAAGGUGUUUUUUCUCUUGAAGGCCUACUUUAUUUUUUAAUUUAAAAAGCUAGUCUUUUCAAACUUCUUUGGAAUUUAUUUUGCUAGGUAGUAUUUUAAAAUAUUAUAAUCCAUGAAAACUAAGAAGUGUUUGCUGCUUGUAUACAAAGGUUUGUGAGCCUUGGAUACCUGUAAGUUUUUAGUGAAAGCUUUGUUUUUUCAUUUCCAGCCUUCACUACUGGUUCUAAGUAGGUGUUUAAAUUUCCAGUCAAAAGCCAUGCUGUUGGUAUCUGAAGUGCCAGAUGUGUCUUCUCAGGCAGUUUUUCAUCACGUGCUUUGAAGUUCAGCUUCCUUUGAGAAGUAGAAAGACAACACUGCCUCCAUUUUACAGAUGGCAAAACUGAGUUGUGAGGAGGCCUUGUUGAGUAACUAUACAUGCCAAACAUAAUUAUCAGCUCUUCACACCAACUUGCAUAAACCACCUCUGCGUGGGGGAAGAAGUAAUGGCUGACACCUGUCCACUUACCAGAUCUGAAAUGAUCCUAGAGAUAGGUUAUUCUCAUGUGUUACUUGGCUGCAUUUUGUAUUAUCUGAUAGUGGAAGUAUCAUAAGGUGAUGAUGCAGCAGAGGCUAAAAAGAAAGGAUACAUUAUAGACUUAGAAGAAAUUUUUGUUUCCUUUUGGUUGAAUGGUAUAUAAUUAUAAAAAUAACAAAGAUAACAGCAAAAAAGAGGUGGGCUAAGACUGUGUCUUCUACUGUUGAUGGACAUCCUUCCUUUUCUAACUAAAAAUUAAGAGAUGGUCAGUAAGGAUAAGUAGUAGUACCAGAUCUGGUCUCUCUAAGAGAACUGAAUGAAUUUCUUCAUGAGAAUUCAUACACAGGACAUACAGUUGGAGUUAAUUAAUUUACUGUCCUGUUUCAUACCCAGUGCUUGCAGCAAGAUGCCGUGAAGAGACUGGAGAAAACAUUCAGCUUGUGGAAUUCUGCUUUGGGAGCAUGUGUUUGUAUGACAGUAUUAUCACUGUUCAAUUAACUCUAGAAAGGGAAGAUGCAGGAAUUUGACUACAGAAAUGUACAUGUGUGCUCUCAUACCCUCUGGGUGAUUCCCCUCCCGACUGCCAGCUGUCAUGCAGAAUCUGAAACAGACAAAAAUUUAUUGGGUAGUAUUUAGAAACAUGUCAGCGGUAAUGACUGGAUCUCUGAUUUCAAUUAUCACCUACUAAAUUUAGGCUAAUGUAGUGCAUUUGUAGACCUGUUGAGUGCACUUGACAUCAUGUUUAAAAUAUUUGAAACUGCACUGGUUUUUAAUAUCAUAUGUUGACCACUUUCUUUUUCCUACUCGCAUCUGGUGCAUGGCAGCAGACAUCCCAUGUGACCUAUAAAAACUUCAGUUGUGCUAGUUUGAGUUUCUUUUUCUUCUUCAGAUUAUAUUUCGUCAGAGAAGAAGAAAGUAGUCUGAGACUACAAUUAGUUUAAUGAAACACUGCUCUGAGAUCUGUAAUUCACCCUUUUUUCCCCCCCAUACAAUCAGUGUGUAAAUAGCAUUUUAAGCUUUAUGCCUAUUGUUUGGCUUUAAUUUUUCAUUGAAAAUCCUUGGUCACUUGAGUGCUCCUAAAGCUAUUUUAAUAAUAAAUUACCUAUAGUCACUAUUUUUAUGUAGAAUGCCUGGUUGAUAUUUCAGGUGGAAUCUGAUUAUACACCAUUUCUUUUGUUAUAUUAGCAGAGAUUAAUGUUUAAAUCCAAAUUACUGAGUUCUGCUUUGCUUACUUUGUAAACAUUUUAUGUGCUAUUAUUUUAGGACUAUUGAAGGGGAUUAUUUAAAAACAAAAUUUCCUUUUCCAAGUACUGCAAUACUUUGUUGGAGUGCUGCAAAACAGUUUUCUGUCUUCUGAUCUUGUACUCCUUCCAUAUCCAUCUUCCUUAUACAUAUUUAAUAUGUAUAGCAUGUAUUAAAUUUAUAUGCUGAUGUUUGCAACUCUGAACUUGCCUUCUAACUAUUGAAAUAGUAACUGUUGAAGUAAUUUGUUUGGUAGUACUCAGGAGUACUAAUCAUCACAGCUUUUGGUUUGUGUCUCCCUGUUUUUGUGAAAAUAUUGCAAGCUUUCAAAGUUACAUCCACAUCUGCAUGCAACUAAUAGAAGAAAUAAAGUAGUCUCCAACUAUACAUAGGCUACUUUGAGUAAGUUUAUUGUCCACAUCUUGAUAGCUGCAUAAGCAAACUUGGGGAAUUUUGUAAGAAUAAAUCUCCUCCUUUAUAUCAAAAUCCCAGCCUGCCUAUACUAAUUUUGCUUUGUUGUGGUUUCUCAUUUCUGGGAGUAUAUUUUUCAGUAGUAUUUUUAGUAGUGGUUAGCAGGUUCUUUUCCUGCCUAAUGCUUCCAGACAUCCUUUAAAUGACUUGAGAAUAACAAUCUCAAGGUUGUUUUAAACUAAAAUUAUUAUUAAAAAAACCCUGAGCAUGUUACCUAUGUAAUACAAGAUACAAUAGCAGAAGCUUUCAAAUUGGGUGUUGGAAACAUUCCUACUGGGAGAGGAAACAAAUCUUGAAGAUGGAAUUUCAGUAAAGUUGUAUGUAGACCUUCUGGUGAAAUGUGCAAGGAUGUACAGUCCUACUGAUGAUCUGUCACUUCCAGAAUUUCUAGAAGUGUCUUGGAUGGUAAGUUUCAGGAAUAGUUUCCUCUGAUGCUUAUUUUCUGGGGAUUUUGUUUUAGUUUUGGUGUGGAAAUUGUCUAUGAUUCCUUAGAAAUUCUCCAAGCCAAGCAUGGAUGCAUCCAGUAGUUGCAAGGGGUCUACCUGGUGGCUUCAUGAUGUUAUCAAAGUUACCAUGGAAAGGAUCAAUGUUUACUAUCCUGAUUUAAGCUUGUCCAGUUUAAGCCUAAAACUCAUAACUGAUCACAAGUCACAAAAAAUGCCUAUGUAAUUUUAUUACAUCUAGCCUAUACAUAAUCUGUAUUUAUCUUCCUUUAAUAGAGAUGUUUUUCUUAAUGGAGGAUCCACUCAAUGUGAGCCUAAUGUUGUUUUUAUUUUUCCUUGGAUAUUUGAAAAAUGAAACCUGAAAGGCCUGAGAAAUUUCAACAUAGGAAUUUCAAUCAUAAACUAAGAACAGUCUUAAGUUUUGAAUAGCUUGCAGAACUGGUUUUGCUCUGUUGUAUAUUUCUUUAGUAGUCUGAGAUCUUCUGAUUUGUAGAUUCUGUCCUGUGCCAUCAGUUCUAACAGGCUUUGUUGCUCCUACCAGACUGCUGUGAUACUGGGAGUGUGCAGGGUGGGUAUUUCAGUUGUUAGGUUUGAUAUGUGUUAAUGAAUAGUAUAUUAGUUUGCACAUACAGGGGACUUCUGUGCUGCUCUACUUUGCUAACUUUUCUGAUUGCUCUGUACUCAGUUCUUCUCAAAUCACUCCUGUGCUGCCUGACUGCUACCUUGGAUGACCCAGUGAUGGACAGUUGUGUUGGUUUCCGCUUUAUUUCUACAAAUCCUUCUAUUCUGUGUGACUGCAAAAAUGUUUCCUCUGCUUCCAGAGAAGUCCAAGAAAACUGCUGGCUCUGAUAGAAGAUGAAAAUAAGAUUUAUGGUGACAUCAUGUAUUACCCAAGCAAAUCUGUUUUGUGAAAGAUUGUUUUUUAUGGUGUUGAAAUAAACAAUCAGUGAAUCGUU
Long non-coding RNA from Corvus hawaiiensis (hawaiian crow), 9486 nucleotides. RefSeq lists it as uncharacterized. The record is from RefSeq and is a predicted model, not a curated record. Lineage: Eukaryota; Metazoa; Chordata; Aves; Passeriformes; Corvidae. The transcript has 2 exons.